AGAGUUUGAUCAUGGCUCAGAUUGAACGCUGGCGGCAUGCCUUACACAUGCAAGUCGAACGGCAGCGCGGACUUCGGUCUGGCGGCGAGUGGCGAACGGGUGAGUAAUGUAUCGGAACGUACCUUUCAGUGGGGGAUAACGUAGCGAAAGUUACGCUAAUACCGCAUAUUCUGUGAGCAGGAAAGCAGGGGAUCGCAAGACCUUGCGCUGAUUGAGCGGCCGAUAUCAGAUUAGCUAGUUGGUGAGGUAAAGGCUCACCAAGGCGACGAUCUGUAGCGGGUCUGAGAGGAUGAUCCGCCACACUGGAACUGAGACACGGUCCAGACUCCUACGGGAGGCAGCAGUGGGGAAUUUUGGACAAUGGGGGCAACCCUGAUCCAGCCAUGCCGCGUGAGUGAAGAAGGCCUUCGGGUUGUAAAGCUCUUUCGGCCGGGAAGAAAUCGUACGGGUUAAUACCCUGUGCGGAUGACGGUACCGGCAUAAGAAGCACCGGCUAACUACGUGCCAGCAGCCGCGGUAAUACGUAGGGUGCGAGCGUUAAUCGGAAUUACUGGGCGUAAAGCGUGCGCAGGCGGUUUUGUAAGACAGGCGUGAAAUCCCCGGGCUCAACCUGGGAACUGCGCUUGUGACUGCAAGGCUAGAGUAUGGCAGAGGGGGGUGGAAUUCCACGUGUAGCAGUGAAAUGCGUAGAGAUGUGGAGGAACACCAAUGGCGAAGGCAGCCCCCUGGGCCAAUACUGACGCUCAUGCACGAAAGCGUGGGUAGCAAACAGGAUUAGAUACCCUGGUAGUCCACGCCCU
This 800-nucleotide ribosomal RNA is filed under the name uncultured bacterium. RNAcentral describes it as "bacterial SSU rRNA". It matches the Rfam family "Bacterial small subunit ribosomal RNA", at positions 8 to 803 of the family's 1533-position model. The record is from RNAcentral.